This 429-nucleotide ribosomal RNA is filed under the name Gemmatimonadota bacterium. RNAcentral describes it as "Gemmatimonadetes bacterium partial 16S ribosomal RNA". It matches the Rfam family "Bacterial small subunit ribosomal RNA", at positions 355 to 776 of the family's 1533-position model. The record is from RNAcentral. Lineage: Bacteria; Pseudomonadati; Gemmatimonadota.
UAGGGAAUCUUCGGCAAUGGACGAAAGCCUGACCGAGCAACGCCGCGUGAGUGAAGAAGGUUUUCGGAUCGUAAAACUCUGUUGUUAGAGAAGAACAAGGACGUUAGUAACUGAACGUCCCCUGACGGUAUCUAACCAGAAAGCCACGGCUAACUACGUGCCAGCAGCCGCGGUAAUACGUAGGUGGCAAGCGUUGUCCGGAUUUAUUGGGCGUAAAGCGAGCGCAGGCGGUUUCUUAAGUCUGAUGUGAAAGCCCCCGGCUCAACCGGGGAGGGUCAUUGGAAACUGGGAGACUUGAGUGCAGAAGAGGAGAGUGGAAUUCCAUGUGUAGCGGUGAAAUGCGUAGAUAUAUGGAGGAACACCAGUGGCGAAGGCGGCUCUCUGGUCUGUAACUGACGCUGAGGCGCGAAAGCGUGGGGAGCAAACAGG